This 363-nucleotide ribosomal RNA is filed under the name uncultured bacterium. RNAcentral describes it as "bacterial SSU rRNA". It matches the Rfam family "Bacterial small subunit ribosomal RNA", at positions 29 to 371 of the family's 1533-position model. The record is from RNAcentral.
AACGAACGCUGGCGGCGUGGAUAAGACAUGCAAGUCGAACGGGAUUACUUCUGGUAGCAAUACCGGGAGUAAUUCAGUGGCGAACGGGUGCGUAACACGUGGGCAAUCUGCCGAAAAGUGGGGGAUAGCUCGCCGAAAGGCGAAUUAAUACCGCAUAUGAUGAGAGACGACAUCGUUUCGAAAUCAAAGCCGGGGCGAACCUGGCGCUUUUUGUAGGAGCCCGCGGCCUAUCAGCUAGUUGGUGAGGUAACGGCUCACCAAGGCGGUGACGGGUAGCUGGUCUGAGAGGACGACCAGCCACACUGGAACUGAGACACGGUCCAGACACCUACGGGUGGCAGCAGUCGAGUAAUUUUUCUUCAA